UGCUGCGCACGGCCGCCGUUAGUUGGGUGGGGUUGUGGGCGUGUGGCUGUGUGUGGUGGCCGAGGCGGCUCGGAAGGCUUGGCGCUGUCUCUGCCUGUCUCCCCUGUCUGCAGUGCGCUGCGUUUCACAGGACGAUUUUGCCUCUUCGUAGCCCGACGGGAGACUUUAAGCACCAAUCCAGGAAACCCCUUGCGGAGCAGAGCCCCAAGUGCCUCCCUUCCUCGUGAGGUUGGAGCUUGUGAAAUGCAGCCCCGGGCCGCGUGCUGAAUUACGAUUAUGGAGCUGCCUGAGGUCACGGAUGAGGUCUCUUGCGACAGCUGAGCUGCAGUCAGAUCUGUUCAGAGAACACAAAGUGCGGAAGCAGCCCUGUCCCUCUCAGCAAGCACUCUGAUGCACACCCACACGUGUCCUCUCUCUCUGGCCCAGCAUCAUCGGGGGAGAACUCCCCGAUUGCUGAUGAUUACCAAACCGUAGCUGACCAAACAAAGCUGGAUGCAGUGGAGGGUGUGAGCCUGGCCUCUGAGGAGCUGAAAUUGGGCGACCACCUGCCAGGGGAAGAGGCCACAGCCGUGACUCCCGCCUUGGAGCCAAAGAUUGACUUGGUCCCUGAGAGAGAGGAGCCGGAGGGUACUGAGCCGCCGCGUGUAGCGCCGGAGCAGAGCUCAGAGCUGCCAUCUGUGUGGCGAGAGGAAAGCAGCGGGACUCCACCGCCAGCACGGAGGGAUGGUGAUGGGCCGCCAGCACCACGACCAGCAGGUGACAGUGCGCUGGUGGAAGGCACUGACAGCGCUGUGGUGGAAACCAUCAAGAAAGUGCAUAUUGCUGAAGAGGACCACUUCAUUGAGGGUGAGACGGGAGAACAGGUGGAAACUGAGCUGCUCAGUCAGAUAGUAAGUGGAGGGCCUGAAACAAAAGAAGAGGAAACAGGAGAAGUGGAUGGCGCAGCAGCGACAGAGAUAGAGACAACUGGUAACAAAGACUAGAAGCUGCAUCUGUAUGAACAUCCUCUUGUUGGGCCGGCCCUUCUGUCCACAUGAAAGUUGUUUAAUUUCGCUGCGUUGGGAAAAUAGAGCUUUUUAUGGAUGGAGCCACAAACCAGAAUAAGAAGCAUCAAAGGAGGUUUUAUGUAUGUUUUUGAAGUCAAGCUGCCAAGACUUCAAGUGUUUGAAAUACCUGACCUGGUUCCUCCCUGCCACAGAGUGCCUUCCGUACAUCGCCAGCACCGCGGGGUGAUUCUGACAGACGUAUAACCAUCCAGUUUUCAAUUAGGAGUCUUUCCAGGUUCUAACUUCAAACCUCUGAAACCUUCAGCGUUACAUAGGAUAAAGAAUAUAGUGUAGACUGGUUUUAGUUUUAUUUUAAUGGUAGCGUAAGCAGAAAGUCAGAAAGGGAAGUCCUACUUCUGAGAACUCCUGCACGUGCAGGUAACCCCUCCGACUGCCUGCACAACCGGGUUAUGGAGCUGCUGCAGCGAGCUGCACUCAGAGGAGUGGAACCCUAACUGCCAAUUUGCUGGGUGUAACUGAAUGCAAAGGUUAGUUUUUCAGGCAAGUGAAAGAUACACAGGUUGCAAUAUACAGUAACCAAGUAGGUGCAUUCUGCUAACUCCAUUUUUAAGCAUAUUUACUGAAAGGAGGGAAAAAAAGGUAUUUUUAACCAGGAGGAGAAUGUUUUAGUCUUCUGAAGUCUGGCAUACUUAAAAUACAAAUCCACAGUUGUUAGCACGCAUGGUGAUUAAUAGGGCAUCUUUAGCUAUGUAGCACCUUACAUACACUCACAGCUUCUAAGAUACCUAACUGGUGACUUAUGUAAGCCUGUUCCCAUAGGAGAGGUCAUU
Molecule: RNA transcript, 1837 nt
Organism: Tympanuchus pallidicinctus (lesser prairie-chicken)
Lineage: Eukaryota; Metazoa; Chordata; Aves; Galliformes; Phasianidae
Gene: ERICH5
Gene name: glutamate rich 5
Exons: 6
Source: RefSeq, a predicted model, not a curated record